This 1092-nucleotide ribosomal RNA is filed under the name Triticum aestivum (bread wheat). RNAcentral describes it as "partial small subunit ribosomal RNA". The record is from RNAcentral. Lineage: Eukaryota; Viridiplantae; Streptophyta; Magnoliopsida; Poales; Poaceae.
AUGGAUGAUAACAACUUAUGCAUUUUGAAUUGGAAUUUACGUGGUUUGAACUGCCCAGACCGCCGUGCAGUUGUAAAAGAAACCAUUGCCUCCACCCCGUGCAACAUUGUAUGUCUUCAGGAAACCAAACUUGCUAUUGUGGAUCCUUUUGUUGCUGCUUUUCUGGGUGGCCACCGUUUGAAAAGCUUCGCUGAGCGCCCUGCGAUUGGCACCCGUGGGGGCAUCCUUCUCUUGUGGAAUGAAGACCUCAUCAAGAUUGAUAAUGUGCGCUUUGGGACCUUCUUCCUCUCGGCCAUGGUGACGAUCAUCGGCUCAGGCACCUCCUUCCAGCUCACAACUGUUUAUGGCCCCACCAGAGGAAAUUUGAAGGAUGCGUUUUUCCUUGAGAUGGUUGGGCAGAAACCUACUAAUGGCACGAGAUGGCUUAUCAUCGGAGAUUUCAACCAAGUCUAUCGUGCCUGAGAUAAGAACCGUUCCAAUGUUGAUCGGAGCCGCAUUGUCCGGUUCCGCAACACUCUCAAUGCUUGCGAGCUCAAGGAGAUACAUUUGCAGAAUAGGAAAUUCACGUGGAGCAACGAGCGAGCUGAUCCGACCAUGAGCAAACUUGAUAGCUUUUUUUGUAAUGAAGAUUGGGAUAUCCAAUUCGGCACACACCUCCUACAUGCCUUGUCAUCUUCAUUGUCCGACCAUUGUCCUCUCCUCCUCGCUAGUGACUCCGGGCCCUCUCGGCCAAAGUGCUUCCGCUUCGAAAACUUUUGGAUCAAGAUGCCUAACUUCAAGAAGGUUGUUCAAGAUGCUUGGAACGAGGGAGUCCCCCAUGUUGAGCCAUACCAAAUCCUCUUUCACAAGCUAAAGAGAGCUAGUCAGCGCCUACGCACUUGGAGCAAAAAGAUCUUCUCCAAUCAUAAAGUCCAACUCCACAUGGCUCUUGAUAUCAUCCUUAGACUGGAUUUGGCCCAAGAAAGUCGAGCUUUGAGCAGUGAGGAAAGAGAUCUUCGGAGUAAGCUAAAAAGGAAGAUAGUGGCCCUUGCUGUUCUAGAGAGAGCCAGAAAGAGACAGAGCUCCAGGGUUACUUUGCUUAAAGAGGGCGAC